RNAcentral lists this ribosomal RNA (487 nucleotides) under Streptococcus anginosus. Its description in RNAcentral is "bacterial SSU rRNA". It matches the Rfam family "Bacterial small subunit ribosomal RNA", at positions 28 to 489 of the family's 1533-position model. Lineage: Bacteria; Bacillati; Bacillota; Bacilli; Lactobacillales; Streptococcaceae. The record is from RNAcentral.
GACGAACGCUGGCGGCGUGCCUAAUACAUGCAAGUAGGACGCACAGUUUAUACCGUAGCUUGCUACACCAUAGACUGUGAGUUGCGAACGGGUGAGUAACGCGUAGGUAACCUGCCUAUUAGAGGGGGAUAACUAUUGGAAACGAUAGCUAAUACCGCAUAACAGUAUGUAACACAUGUUAGAUGCUUGAAAGAUGCAAUUGCAUCGCUAGUAGAUGGACCUGCGUUGUAUUAGCUAGUAGGUAGGGUAAUGGCCUACCUAGGCGACGAUACAUAGCCGACCUGAGAGGGUGAUCGGCCACACUGGGACUGAGACACGGCCCAGACUCCUACGGGAGGCAGCAGUAGGGAAUCUUCGGCAAUGGGGGGAACCCUGACCGAGCAACGCCGCGUGAGUGAAGAAGGUUUUCGGAUCGUAAAGCUCUGUUGUUAAGGAAGAACGAGUGUGAGAAUGGAAAGUUCAUACUGUGACGGUACUAAACCAGAAA